Molecule: microRNA precursor, 74 nt
Filed under: Tursiops truncatus (common bottlenose dolphin)
Lineage: Eukaryota; Metazoa; Chordata; Mammalia; Artiodactyla; Delphinidae
Description: miRNA (ENSTTRG00000024582.1)
Source: RNAcentral
UUGGUUUGGCCGAAAAGUUCGUCCGGGUUUUCCAUAUUACAGAAGAACCCGAUGAACUUUUGGGUCAACCCAAU